This is a non-coding RNA of Peromyscus maniculatus bairdii (prairie deer mouse), 127 nucleotides long. NCBI's taxonomy places the organism in Eukaryota, Metazoa, Chordata, Mammalia, Rodentia, Cricetidae. The record is from Ensembl.
AACGGAGGACCAAGAAAGCUGAGUCUGAUAAAGCAAGACUUUGCUGAUACACUCCUCCUAAACAAAGGGGUGGUGAGAGCAGCCCUUAUCAGAGAAACCCACAGGGCGGAUGUGCUACCUAACAUUU